UACGGAGGGUCCAAGCGUUAUUCGGAAUUACUGGGCGUAAAGCGCAUGUAGGUGGUUUAUUAAGUCAGAUGUGAAAGCCCUGGACUCAAUCCAGGAAGUGCAUUUGAUACUGGUAGACUAGAGUAUAGGAGAGGAAAGCGGAAUUCCAGGUGUAGAGGUGAAAUUCGCAGAUAUCUGGAGGAACAACAGAGGCGAAGGCGGCUUUCUGGACUAUAACUGACACUGAGAUGCGAAAGCGUGGGGAGCAAACAGG
RNAcentral lists this ribosomal RNA (253 nucleotides) under uncultured bacterium. Its description in RNAcentral is "partial 16S ribosomal RNA". It matches the Rfam family "Bacterial small subunit ribosomal RNA", at positions 524 to 776 of the family's 1533-position model. The record is from RNAcentral.